Long non-coding RNA from Acinonyx jubatus (cheetah), 696 nucleotides. RefSeq lists it as uncharacterized. Lineage: Eukaryota; Metazoa; Chordata; Mammalia; Carnivora; Felidae. The transcript is spliced from 3 exons. The record is from RefSeq and is a predicted model, not a curated record.
ACGGAUGAUGGCAGCAUCUUGAGCGAAUGGUAUCAGAAGGAUACAGAGGCAAGAAAAUCUAUAUUGUUUCAAUAAGAACAGGUUCUGAGGACCCAUGGCUCUUGCAGUUAUCACUGUUGUUACCUUUUGUCUUGUGAGCUGCACGAAUUUAGCCAAGGAUAGUACUUUUGGCAAAUAGGAGGAGAUCCAAAUAGCCUAGAUCCCACGAAGGAUCUUCAUGCGUACUUCGAACAAUCACACAAAGACAGCCCGCAGAAAUUACUGGCCUGAUGUUCCACGUACCUGGGGACAGCCCUGUUCCUGGCCACCUUGCACCUGCCCUGCUCCAGCCCCGGAAUCAGUCUUUUGUCCAUGGAGCCUGGGGGUCAGAGACCAAGAUCUCCGCAUUCGUUUGGUUCUCAGCUGGGGCUCUGGAACGAAAGAGCACCAUAAGAGAAAAGCCUAUGCAUUUAUUUCAUGUAAGUUUCACAUGCUACUGGAGCCUUCCUAAGGAAAUGAAACCCUAAAGAAACGGUUAAUCCUGAAUGUUCAUACUAGGUUAGAUGAAGAGUGGAAAGUGGUAGGAGAAUGUGACAGGAUAAAUAGGCAUGAACUAAAUGCGGUAAAUUGAAGAAACUUAGCAAAGGCUAUUCAUCUGGAUCCCUCUUGGAGUCCCUUGGUCUUAGAGAGAAGGAUGUUCCUUUUCUCUGGGUACAU